This 911-nucleotide long non-coding RNA is filed under the name Oncorhynchus kisutch (coho salmon). RNAcentral's name for it is "lncRNA (ENSOKIG00005009003.1)". The record is from RNAcentral. Lineage: Eukaryota; Metazoa; Chordata; Actinopteri; Salmoniformes; Salmonidae.
GGGGUGUUAAGGAUGUUCUAUCUACAUAGAGGAGGGGAGAUAAGGAUGUUCUAUCUACGUAGAGGAGGGGUGUUAAGGAUGUUCUAUCUACAUGGAGGAGGGGAGGGGGGAUAAGAAUGUUCUAUCUACGUAGAGGAGGGGUGUUAAGGAUGUUCUAUCUACAUGGAGGAGGGGAGGGGGGAUAAGAAUGUUCUAUCUACGUAGAGGAGGGGUGUUAAGGAUGUUCUAUCUACAUAGAGGAGGGGAGAUAAGGAUGUUCUAUCUACGUAGAGGAGGGGUGUUAAGGAUGUUCUAUCUACAUAGAGGAGGGGAGAUAAGGAUGUUAUAUCUACGUAGAGGAGGGGUGUUAAGGAUGUUCUAUCUACAUAGAGGAGGGGAGAUAAGGAUGUUCUAUCUACGUAGAGGAGGGGUGUUAAGGAUGUUCUAUCUACAUAGAGGAGGGGAGAUAAGGAUGUUCUAUCUACGUAGAGGAGGGGUGUUAAGGAUGUUCUAUCUACAUGGAGGAGGGGAUAAGGAUGUUCUAUCUACAUGGAGGAGGGGAGAGGGGAUAAGAAUGUUCUAUCUACAUAGAGGAGGGGUGUUAAGGAUGUUCUAUCUACAUAGAGGAGGGGUGUUAAGGAUGUUCUAUCUACAUAGAGGAGGGGGGAUAAGGAUGUUCUAUCUACAUAGUGGAGGGGUGUUAAGGAUGUUCUAUCUACAUAGAGGAGGGGGGAUAAGAAUGUUCUAUCUACUUAGAGGAGGGGAGAUAAGGAUGUUCUAUCUACAUAGUGGAGGGGUGUUAAGGAUGUUCUAUCUACAUAGAGGAGGGGGGAUAAGAAUGUUCUAUCUACUUAGAGGAGGGGAGAUAAGGAUGUUCUAUCUACAUAGAGGAGGGGGAUAAGGAUGUUCUAAUUACAUAGUGGAGGGGGAUA